RNAcentral lists this unclassified non-coding RNA (201 nucleotides) under Ascomycota sp. RNAcentral's name for it is "partial contains small subunit ribosomal RNA and internal transcribed spacer 1". The stretch from base 1 to 47 matches the Rfam family "Eukaryotic small subunit ribosomal RNA", at positions 1785 to 1831 of the family's 1831-position model. The record is from RNAcentral. Lineage: Eukaryota; Fungi; Ascomycota.
AAAGUCGUAACAAGGUCUCCGUUGGUGAACCAGCGGAGGGAUCAUUAAAAAGGGUCCAAAGACUCCAAAAACCUACCGUGCUCCCAAUGUGGAAAACAGGAAAGCCCUCGCUGGCACUAGUCAUCUGAGAACAGAAAUGCGCCCCGGCGCAAAAAAAACAAAAACAAAUCACAACCCAUAACAAUGGAUCUCUUGGCUCUG